GGAGGGGUGGCAGAGCGGUAAUGCGUCCGCUUGCUAAGCGGUAGCCGGCGAGCAAAUCGUCGCGCGAGUUCGAUACUUGCCCCCUCCGCCA
This 91-nucleotide transfer RNA is filed under the name Ancylobacter polymorphus. RNAcentral describes it as "tRNA-Ser". It matches the Rfam family "tRNA". From Rfam's summary of the family: Transfer RNA (tRNA) molecules are approximately 80 nucleotides in length. Their secondary structure includes four short double-helical elements and three loops (D, anti-codon, and T loops). Further hydrogen bonds mediate the characteristic L-shaped molecular structure. tRNAs have two regions of fundamental functional importance: the anti-codon, which is responsible for specific mRNA codon recognition, and the 3' end, to which the tRNAs corresponding amino acid is attached (by aminoacyl-tRNA synthetases). tRNAs cope with the degeneracy of the genetic code in two manners: having more than one tRNA (with a specific anti-codon) for a particular amino acid; and 'wobble' base-pairing, i.e. permitting non-standard base-pairing at the 3rd anti-codon position. Lineage: Bacteria; Pseudomonadati; Pseudomonadota; Alphaproteobacteria; Hyphomicrobiales; Xanthobacteraceae. The record is from RNAcentral.